CAAAAACAUAGCUUAUUGACUUUUUAUAAUAAGUUUUUUCUGCCCGGUGGUGUUUUUUAACGGCCGCGGUAUUUUGACCGUGCAAAGGUAGCAUAAUCAUUUGUCCUUUAAUUGGGGGCUAGAAUGAAAGAAAGUUUGAAGCUUUUUCUGUCUCUUUUUUAUUUUUGUAAUUUGCUGUUCUUGUGAAGAAGCAAGAGUUGUUAAAAAAGACAAGAAGACCCUAUUAAGCUUUAUUUUUUUGUUUUUAUUCGUUUGAAUAUAAAAACAAAAAGAUUUGGUUGGGGUGACUAAAGAAGAAAAAUUUAUCUUCUUUUUUUAAAAAUAACUAUUUGUUUAACAGAGACCCAAAAUUUUUUGGUUGUAAGAAUUAGUUACUAUAGGGAUAACAGCGUUAUCUUUUCAUAAAGUUCUUAUUGAAGAAAAGGAUUGCGACCUCGAUGUUGACUUACUUUAUCCUAUAAAGGUGUAGCAGCUGUGAGGGUUGGUCUGUUCGACCAUUAAAAAAGU
This 507-nucleotide ribosomal RNA is filed under the name Lineus ruber. RNAcentral's name for it is "partial 16S ribosomal RNA". It matches the Rfam family "Bacterial large subunit ribosomal RNA", at positions 1808 to 2597 of the family's 2925-position model. The record is from RNAcentral. Lineage: Eukaryota; Metazoa; Nemertea; Pilidiophora; Heteronemertea; Lineidae.